RNAcentral lists this ribosomal RNA (509 nucleotides) under uncultured bacterium. RNAcentral's name for it is "partial 16S ribosomal RNA". It matches the Rfam family "Bacterial small subunit ribosomal RNA", at positions 28 to 523 of the family's 1533-position model. The record is from RNAcentral.
GACGAACGCUGGCGGCGUGCCUAAUACAUGCAAGUCGAGCGAAUGACGAGAAGCUUGCUUCUCUGAUUUAGCGGCGGACGGGUGAGUAACACGUGGGCAACCUGCCCUACAGAUUGGGAUAACUCAGGGAAACCUGGGCUAAUACCGGUUAAUCCUUCGAAUCACAUGUUUUGAAGUUGAAAGGCGCUUCGGCGUCACUGUAGGAUGGGCCCGCGGUGCAUUAGCUAGUGGGUGGGUAACGGCCUACCAAGGCAACGAUGCAUAGCCGACCUGAGAGGGUGAUCGGCCACAUUGGGACUGAGACACGGCCCAAACUCCUACGGGAGGCAGCAGUAGGGAAUCUUCCACAAUGGACGAAAGUCUGAUGGAGCAACGCCGCGUGAGUGAUGAAGGUUUUCGGAUCGUAAAACUCUGUUGUAAGGGAAGAACAAGUACGUUAGGAAAUGAACGUACCUUGACGGUACCUUAUUAGAAAGCCACGGCUAACUACGUGCCAGCCGCCGCAGUAA